Molecule: ribosomal RNA, 245 nt
Filed under: uncultured Sulfuricurvum sp.
Lineage: Bacteria; Pseudomonadati; Campylobacterota; Epsilonproteobacteria; Campylobacterales; Sulfurimonadaceae
Description: partial 16S ribosomal RNA
Rfam family: Bacterial small subunit ribosomal RNA
Source: RNAcentral
UACGGAGGGUGCAAGCGUUACUCGGAAUCACUGGGCGUAAAGGGUGCGUAGGCUGACUUUUAAGUCAGGCGUGAAAUCCAAUGGCUUAACCAUUGAACUGCGCUUGAAACUGGGAGUCUAGAGUUCAGAAGGGGCAGAUGGAAUUAGUGGUGUAGGGGUAAAAUCCGUAGAUAUCACUAGGAAUAUCAAAAGCGAAGGCGAUCUGCUGGGAUGAUACUGACGCUGAGGCACGAAAGCGUGGGGAG